CAGACUGCUCCAGUUGUCUCAGGUUUGAAGGGUUCCUUCUCCAGACGGCAUGUUUCAGCUCCUUCCACAGAUGUUCAAUAGGAUUUAGAUCAGGGCUCAUAGAAGACCACUUCAGAAUAGUCCAAUGUUUUCCUCUUAGCCAUUCUUGGCUGUUUUUAGCUGUAUGUUUUGGGUCAUUAUUCUGUUGCAAGACCCAUGACCUGCGACUGAGACCAAGCUUUCUGACACUGGGCAGCACAUUUCUCUCUAGAAUACCUUGAUAUUCAUGACAUUUCAUUGUACCUGCACAGAUUCAAGACACCCUGUGCCAGAUGCAGCAAAGCAGCCCCAGAACAUAACAGAACCUCCUCCAUGUUUCACAAGUGGCCUGCUGUCCAUGAGAACCUGAAACCUUUGGGGAUUGGCAGUGUAAUCAAAUGAGGCUUCAGUGUGAAGCAGGAAAUGUGCUCACAGUGGUUUAUCAUUGUCACUUACCAGUGUCAAAUCGUGUUAUUGCAUUGGAGUUUAUUAAAUACAGACACGGGUGCCUUAGCUGAAUGUCGAACAUUUUAGAUGAUUGUUUUGGUCUUUUAGGUGAUAAACCUGGAAACAUGGAAAAGUAUCACUCUAAACUAAGUGGAAUUUGUUUACCCAAACCACAGAUUAUGGAUAUGAGGUGCUCAGGUGAUUUAGUAUUUCACUUUUAUAAAGCUCAGGGUUGCAAAAAAAGAGUGGUGAAAAUCAAGCUCCAAAAACACUUCAUCCCCUAAUAUGUAACAUAAUGCAACUCGAAAGCAUCUCCACAACUCUAGGCUGUUAUGCAGACUUAUAUAAAUUUGUAGCCUCCGAACCCAAACAGAGUUUCUGCAACUGUUUCCACAAGAUGCACAGUAAAUAAGACACUGUGCAUUUCCAGUUUGAUUUAAAUGCAUCAUUAGUGUUUGGUAAAAUGCAAGUCGGGAUGUCUUCAGAGAUAUGGCAAAAGGACUCUUUUUUCAGUCUUAACUUCACAAUACAAAAUAUUACAUGACUACAGCAGCUUAUAUGACAUGUAAAUACUCCAUUUAAUUACUGAAAAAGUUUAUGUACUGCAUUGUUAAUUCCCUGCUUUUAUGAUAAAUUUCAGAUGCAUUUUGAAGACGUUUUUACGAAAUUGUAUGAAAUGUUAUUCUGUACACAGUUUGUUUAUUUCUAUUGUGUAUAUGAACACCUGUUGGUUCUGUGGGGCUGAGGUGCCUUGUCUUGUUUUGGGAGUUUUCAAAAUGCCAUAAAGGCUGUGUUUGCAGGACUACAUCGUCACUGUACAUCAAAAGCUACUAAUUAUGAUUUAAUACAGUUAUUCAGUGUACCCACAGUGUUGGUUCACUCCUCUGACGUAGUGUGUGAGCUGCCUGACAAUUCAUUUCCAUCCAAACAUAAAGGUGAGCUCGAGAUUUAGCCUUUGUAGCCAGAAUUUGACUAAAACUUUCAGUUCAGUUUGAAGUAUCUGCAUCCAGUGUUGCUUUGUGGAACUGGGACUGUGGAGGUUAGAGUGAAUGAGUAUUGCGUUUUUAUAGAGAACCUUAAAAAUAUUCCGUCUACAAGUAUAUAUACAUCUUGUCAAAAUAGUACCUAAACUGCUUUGUAUGUGCUGUCUCUCAAACUUAGCUUGGCUGUCUAUCAGUGAACAUCUUUGGUAAUUUACUCAUACCCCAUACUUUGUAGUAUUGUAAGUAAAACUUAUUCUAUUCCCUUGGCCAGAGUAAUCAGACAGCAGCUCACUAAGGUUGCAAGCAACAAUUAUUUCCAUUGUUGAUUAUUUUCUGCAGAUUUUCUUUGACAAUCAUCAGUGAGUCCACUGGUCCACAAGAAAUGGUGGAAAAAUAACACAUUUUUAGAAUCAGAUUUUUCCAGUCAGCGAUCCACAAUGCCUGUUUACAGUCACAUAUGAAAGAAGCACAGUGAUGAAACCAGUAACCAGUAUAGAUUUUUAUAUGAAAAGGGACUUGAACUAUCAAUUAUCGUUACAGUUUCGGAUUCAUUUCAAAACCACCAGCAUCUGCUUCAUUCUCUCAGCUCUGCUCCCUUAUGAUGAGUGAAUUCAUGACUGCUUGUACACAUAAAGCUCUUUCCGCAUUCUCGCUUAUAAUGAAAUAAUCUCUGUCAUCUGUACCUUGUGGACUGGUAACGGAUAGAACUCUUCAUACAAAACAUUUUAAAGCCACGCGAUUAACACUGCACUACUAGUACCAGCAUCAACCAAGGAAUGCCUAAUCAACUAACGUAGAAUGAACGUUAAUCCCUUAACCCUCAGGAAGUGUGUCUGUGGAAUGAAUGUCAAUGAGUCCAAUCAGACACCUCCAGUGUAGACAGGACACAUUUCGUAGGCAUUUAGUCAGAUUGUACAAUACAAGCUGAAACACAAACUAAUAAAUCAUGCCAGCAGUUGCUGAUGUUCAUGCAGUAAUCUCCUGUUUGUCUUCAGUCAGUUUAAUGUAUAUGUUUAAUGUAAUUCAGUUCUCUGGGCUGUUGUGUGUUUGCUGGCUUCUGUAAGUUCUGUGGUCUGUCUGGGGACAUUGUGCCACAUUUUACUGGAGGCUGGAAAUGGGAGUAUGACAAUAAAUGUUUUUUUUUUUUUUUAAUGAAGCAUUCUGUUGUGGGUUAAUCUGCCUCCUCAGUCUCAUAUACUGGAGCAGGGGUGUCAAACAUGU
Molecule: long non-coding RNA, 2669 nt
Organism: Amphiprion ocellaris (clown anemonefish)
Lineage: Eukaryota; Metazoa; Chordata; Actinopteri; Pomacentridae
Source: Ensembl